RNAcentral lists this ribosomal RNA (427 nucleotides) under uncultured bacterium. Its description in RNAcentral is "bacterial SSU rRNA". It matches the Rfam family "Bacterial small subunit ribosomal RNA", at positions 355 to 774 of the family's 1533-position model. The record is from RNAcentral.
UAGGGAACAUUGGACAAUGGGCGCAAGCCUGAUCCAGCCAUGCCGCGUGAGUGAAGAAGGCCCUCGGGUUGUAAAGCUCUUUUGUCCGGAAAGAAAAGCAUCGGGUUAAUACCCCGGUGUUCUGACGGUACCGGAAGAAUAAGCACCGGCUAACUUCGUGCCAGCAGCCGCGGUAAUACGAAGGAUGCAAGCGUUAUCCGGAUUCAUUGGGUUUAAAGGGUGCGUAGGCGGGCUUGUAAGUCAGUGGUGAAAUCUCUCAGCUUAACUGAGAAACUGCCAUUGAUACUGCAGGCCUAGAGUAUAGAUGACGUUGGCGGAAUAUGACAUGUAGUGGUGAAAUACUUAGAUAUGUCAUAGAACACCGAUUGCGAAGGCAGCUAACGAAACUAUAACUGACGCUGAGGCACGAAAGUGCGGGGAUCAAACA